RNAcentral lists this long non-coding RNA (1333 nucleotides) under Ananas comosus (pineapple). RNAcentral's name for it is "long non-coding RNA (ACOM_LNC012559)". The record is from RNAcentral. Lineage: Eukaryota; Viridiplantae; Streptophyta; Magnoliopsida; Poales; Bromeliaceae.
GUCGGAGGCCGCGGCGGAAGAGGAGGAGAAGAAGAAGAAGAGGCGUAGUGGCCGCGGAGGCGGCGGCGGAGGAGUGGUGUCGCGCGUGUGGAAGGGGAUCUUCGGAGCGGGACAUGACUUGGAGAAGGAGCUUCGGCGCCUCUCCGUGGCGGAGGCCUCCGCCCACGCGCGGAUCAAGCGAAGGGCCCAAGCCACGCGCGCGAUGAGGACGAACCUCGUCGUCGUAUCGAUCGCUCUUGAGGUUUUGCGAUUUGAUUUGAUUUUAGCCGAAUUAGUUUUAAUUAGGUCGCUGGAAUUUAUCAAGUUGAUUUCGAAUUUAGGGUUUGAUGAGGUAGCAAGGUUGCCACUAUGUAUUGAAAUGAGCUUAAUAGUUGGUAGUUGUUUGAUAUUCUCAAAUCAUAUUAGGUUUGAUUGCAAUAAUUCAGGUAGUUUGAAUCACAAACUUCAAUAAUUCUAGUUUUGAUGAUCAAAUAUCAGCAACCUUGUAGUUCGAGAACGAUUCGUCAAAUUUGGCCUAUGAUUUAUGUGUGCAAAUGGAGCAAUAUUGCUCGUUUAGUUUUAUUUUUUAUUUGUAGAGACAUGAUUUUUGAUGUUUAUAAUGGUUGCACAGAAUUGCGCCAAGUGAUUGAAAAAAUCUGAUAUGAAGCUGUUUGUCCAAUUUAGACUAUGAUUUAUAUGAGCAAAUGGAGCAAUCUUGCUUGUUUUAAUUUAAUAUUAGUUUGUAGAAACAUGAUUUUUAAUGUUUAUAGUGGUUUCACGGCAUUGCGCCUAGUGAUUGAAAAAUCAGAUAUGAUGAUGUGCUUAAACAUAAUAUAUAUUAGAUUUAGUAUACGUCACAAAUAUAUCUUUCACCGGUUGUGUACUUCUAUAUCUUCUAUAAAGGUUCCUUGUGGUUCUGCAAGUGUUCGUUGCUUGAUUAUUGCUAAACCUUCCAAAAAAAUGAUUUAGUGUUCUUGGUCAUUUUCUACUAGAUCAUUUUUCUUGGUAGCAUGGUAUCAGAGCUAACCCAAAUCCCCCUCCAUUCCAAGAGGUCCUGAGUUUGAUUCUUUUAUCCGCCACUUUAUGGCAUAUAUUUCCGUCCUUUAUUCCAUUGUAUUUUCCAUUAUCUCAGACCUUUUGGCAUGGUUCAUUUGAUACUCACCGUGCACGCGAGUGAGGAGUGUUAAGACAAAUCCUAGGCCGUUUCCUAGUCGAUCAAUUUUUUUGUUAACACCUAUCAGAUAUGUCUGCAGCACCUGCAUGAAGCUUGUGCCCUUCCCCAGGUGUGGGUUGAGGGACUUCAAGAAGGCCAGAGCCUGCCCGUCGCUCACGUCGCUAAAUAUCUUCUUCAAUC